Molecule: ribosomal RNA, 612 nt
Filed under: uncultured bacterium
Lineage: Bacteria
Description: bacterial SSU rRNA
Rfam family: Bacterial small subunit ribosomal RNA
Source: RNAcentral
CCUACGGGAGGCAGCAGUGGGGAAUUUUGGACAAUGGGCGCAAGCCUGAUCCAGCAAUGCCGCGUGAGUGAAGAAGGCCUUCGGGUUGUAAAGCUCUUUUGUCAGGGAAGAAACGGGUCUUUCUAAUACAGAGGUCUAAUGACGGUACCUGAAGAAUAAGCACCGGCUAACUACGUGCCAGCAGCCGCGGUAAUACGUAGGGUGCAAGCGUUAAUCGGAAUUACUGGGCGUAAAGCGUGCGCAGGCGGUUUUGUAAGUUUGUCGUGAAAUCCCCGGGCUCAACCUGGGAAUGGCGAUGAAGACUGCAAGGCUAGAGUUUGGCAGAGGGGGGUAGAAUUCCACGUGUAGCAGUGAAAUGCGUAGAUAUGUGGAGGAACACCGAUGGCGAAGGCAGCCCCCUGGGUCAAAACUGACGCUCAUGCACGAAAGCGUGGGGAGCAAACAGGAUUAGAUACCCUGGUAGUCCACGCCCUAAACGAUGUCUACUAGUUGUCGGGUCUUAAUUGACUUGGUAACGCAGCUAACGCGUGAAGUAGCCGCUGGGGAAUCGGUCGCAAGNUUAAAACNCAAANAGAGUAGAGNGNGAGAGNGCGAGACGACGACGAGGAGGAG